UAGUCUCAGUUCGGAUUGUAGGCUGAAACUCGCCUACAUGAAGCUGGAGUUGCUAGUAAUCGCGAAUCAGCAUGUCGCGGUGAAUACGUUCCCGGGCCUUGUACACACCGCCCGUCACACCAUGAGAGUUGGCAAUACCCAACGUACGUGAUCUAACCCGCAAGGGAGGAAGCGUCCUAAGGUAGGGUCAGCGAUUGGGGUGAAGUCGUAACAAGGUACC
RNAcentral lists this ribosomal RNA (220 nucleotides) under uncultured bacterium. RNAcentral describes it as "partial 16S ribosomal RNA". It matches the Rfam family "Bacterial small subunit ribosomal RNA", at positions 1283 to 1500 of the family's 1533-position model. The record is from RNAcentral.